UAACACAUUCUACAGUAGGAUCAUUUCUAUAGGAAUCGUCACUCUUUGACUCUUCAAAAGAGCCACUGAAUCCAACUUGGUUGAUGAGUGACAAAACCUUUGUACCCAAGAGUGAGAAAUAAAACUUCAACUAAACUAGCUUGGUCCGCAAUCCUUAGCGGUUCGGCCAUCUAAUUUUCUUUAUGAAAUUUUGCUUUGCUAUUUGCAUUAAGCUGUUCUUUAAGACGAUCUAACUUGUUAGUGAAUCUGCAAGACGGCUUUAUCUAUUAAAUGGCGCGAUGAUCUUGACCCUUUCUAUGUACGUCUUCGGAUGGGAUAGAUUCUUUGGGUGGGUACAAAUGGCAGUCUGACAAGU
Molecule: small nucleolar RNA, 355 nt
Organism: Naumovozyma castellii
Lineage: Eukaryota; Fungi; Ascomycota; Saccharomycetes; Saccharomycetales; Saccharomycetaceae
Rfam family: Fungal small nucleolar RNA U3
About the family: Small nucleolar RNAs (snoRNAs) are involved in the processing and modification of rRNA in the nucleolus.
Source: Rfam